RNAcentral lists this transfer RNA (75 nucleotides) under Pedobacter jeongneungensis. RNAcentral's name for it is "tRNA-Arg". It matches the Rfam family "tRNA". Rfam says of the family: Transfer RNA (tRNA) molecules are approximately 80 nucleotides in length. The record is from RNAcentral. RNAcentral also lists the same sequence under 2 other names. Lineage: Bacteria; Pseudomonadati; Bacteroidota; Sphingobacteriia; Sphingobacteriales; Sphingobacteriaceae.
GCCUCGGUAGCUCAGUUGGAUAGAGCAACGGUUUUCUAAACCGUGGGUCAGGGGUUCGAAUCCCUUCCGGGGUAC